CCUACGGGAGGCAGCAGUAGGGAAUCUUCCACAAUGGGCGAAAGCCUGAUGGAGCAACGCCGCGUGGGUGAAGAAGGUCUUCGGAUCGUAAAACCCUGUUGUUAGAGAAGAAAGUGCGUGGGAGUAACUGUUCACGUUUCGACGGUAUCUAACCAGAAAGCCACGGCUAACUACGUGCCAGCAGCCGCGGUAAUACGUAGGGGGCAAGCGUUGUCCGGAUUUAUUGGGAGUAAAGGGAACGCAGGCGGUCUUUUAAGUCUGAUGGGAAAGCCUUCGGCUUAACCGGAGUAGUGCAUUGGAAACUGGGAGACUUGAGUGCAGAAGAGGAGAGUGGAACUCCAUGUGUAGCGAUGAAAUGCGUAGAUAUAUGGAAGAACACCAGUGGCGAAAGCGGCUCUCUGGUCUGUAACUGACGCUGAGGUUCGAAAGCGUGGGUAGCAAACAGGAUUAGAUACCCCGGUAGUC
RNAcentral lists this ribosomal RNA (465 nucleotides) under uncultured bacterium. Its description in RNAcentral is "partial 16S ribosomal RNA". It matches the Rfam family "Bacterial small subunit ribosomal RNA", at positions 338 to 795 of the family's 1533-position model. The record is from RNAcentral.